GCAUGAGUUUCUUCACAAAAGAUAUAAAAAGAUCUGAAAGUUAUAAUAUUUUUUACUUAUUUUUUGCUUAUAAUUGAUCAAAUAAUUAGUAUCACAUACCAAUUGGUUAUCUUCUAAAAAAGUGGGCCAUUUUCUUGCAUUGAUUUUGGUUAAUCUUUUACUCUCUCUGUUCUUGAAUAUAAAAUGUUUAGGAAAAACACACAUAUCAAAAAAAUUGUUUUUUUUUGUCUAGAAAGUAUCAUUAAAAUUAUAAAAUAACUGUAUUCAACCAAUUACAAAAUAGAUUAUUAAAUUUGAUUGAUUACACAGUCUUUAAUAAAGUAAAUGUUGCAAAAUUGAAAACAUCUUAUAUAUUGGAAUAUCAAUUUUUUUUGAAACAUCUUACAUUUAGGAACAGAUGGAGUGGUAAUAUUCUCUCUUUAUGUGAAUCAAUUUUCACCAACAUAUCACGAAGACAAUGAAUGUGUCAGUUCUCAGAAGCAGCAACAAAUGUGACUAACGAGACAUAAAAGUAGACAUCAAUGUGAAUUUUGAUGUGUGAGUUUUGCCUUUUGUGAAUUUUGAAUAGUCUCUAUUUUGCAAUCUUUGUUCCUUAAAAGCAAAUGUACUUGUAAAAUGUGGAUUCUUUUAGUUUGUUUCUACUGCUCUUGUAAUUUUAUUUUCUUUUAGUAUAUAUGUGUUGUAUCUGUAACAUACUCAUCUGAAGAAAUAUUGUGUGCUUUCUAAUCAACUGAGGUCCAAUAAACUGUUUUCUUCCUCUUCAAGAAAUCGCUAUAACCAAAGAUGACGAGAUUAAAGAAACGAUUUCUCUUCUCAAAACUCUUUAGAAGGAAAAAAACUUUUAUCUUCUCAAUAAUUUUUAGAUUAGUGAAAUUCACCCUCUCUUAUAUCAAACUCAAAACAAAACAGAGGAGUCAUGUUCCGUGCUCUUCACUCCACAUUGUUUUUUAAAGACUCCUAUAUUCUCUUAACACGCGCGUGAGCUUCCAACGGUUCGGUUAGUGCGAAGCUUCACACGCGCCUAAAAGCCCUAACGGUCUAAGCAACAACCAACAACCUCGCGCCAUUAUAUAUAAGAUUCUUUAACUAGUUCUUCUUCGCUCAUUCAUCUUUCUCUCUAGACACUUCUCUCAUCUCUGGCCAUGGCUACUUCUCCAUCUGAUAAACUCGUCCAAGAAGAAGAAGUGGGAACAGAUGAGGUUGUUGAUCCCGCCAAAAUAACCCACGAAGAAGAUGAAGCGCGAACAGAGGAAGAAGAAGUGCGAACAGAGGAAGAAGAAGAUGAGCCCAAGGAAGAAGCUAUCGAGAGCCUUCUUGAAUCUACUCGUAAUCUCAACAUAGAAGACGAAGAGACCAACCAAGGAGCUGAGAAUCAGAAUCGUCAAGAAGAUCCGAUCACGACUCAUAGGAGCGACCAAACAAUGGACCGUGGCUCAACAUCGCUUGCAAGUGACCAGAACCGUCCUCUUGAUUCUGAUCCCAACACUUCUCCUAUUAGUCUCAGCGUACAAGACCAAGGAACCGAGAACCAGAAUCCUCAAGAACAGUCAAUGAUUCCUAGGAGCGGUCAAAGGAUGGAACGUGGCUCAACAUCUUCUGCAAGGCAUCAGAACCAAAACCGUCCUCUUGUUCUUCCGAAUCCUCCUUCUCAACACAUGAUGAUGCCUCCUCGUCUUGGCCCAAGCGUGCCUCCAUAUCAGCAAAACCCUUACGGUUUACCCCAGCCAAGAUGGCUCGUAGUAGACCACUUCUACUCAGACGGGCAUGGUCUAUACGGUGCAAUGUGGAGAUUCCGAACCAUAACUCCUUUUCUCCCAAACCAGAACACAUAUCCGCAUCAGCUGGUGCCGAUGGAGCUCCCCGGUCAGCCUGGAACUGAAUUAGUAUGCUACAGCCAGUCCUUCGGUGUGCUUCGGCAGGGCCAGCUUGUUCCCCACCAGGAAGCUCCUCCAAUGAGGCCGCAGCAGCAGAACCAGUUUCGAAGUCUACCUCCAAUGAGGCCGAUGCUGCCACAGGACGACUUCGUUGUCCAUCUAGGUCAAGUCCCGGUGAGGCCAAUGAUGUAUUACCAGGAACAGAACCAGAUUGUUCCCAACGCGGGCAUACAAGCUCCGGCGAGGCCAAGUCUACCCCAAGUCAGAGCUCCGAUGAUGCAGCCACCGGUGCUUUUAUAUCCGCCACCUAUAGUUAACGCUGUACCAGUGAGGCCAAUGAUGAACCAUGGAGGAGGCCAACGGUUUAGGUUCCCCAUGAUUCAACAGCAGCAAGGUUCUCCCAGUGCACCAUGGCCUGAGCAGAAUCAGCAACUUCAGUCUCCAAGGGAGUCUCAGGGUUCCAACGAUGGACCGUUUUCUUCUGGCGGAAGUCAAGACUAGAGCAUAAGAGGUUUAGGUAAAAAGUAAAAAAAAAAAAACGAUUCUCUUGGAUAUACAAAAUGAUCUCAGUUUGAUUUUGAUAAUUGUAAAUGAAAUGUUGAUUACUCUUUUUUUACUCAAAGAUUUAUUAGAAGUUUACUACGAGGUCCUAUAGUUUUCUUAUCCAUCGAUAAUGCCACGUGUAUUUCAUCAGACGGCUGGUGUGAGGAAUUAUUAAAUAAGAUUUUAGAAAACAAGCGAAUUUUUAAAUUAAUCACCUUUGGAUAGUGUGAUUGGGCCAAAGAGAGCCCUUUUAGUGUAAUAAACAAGCCCAUUAAGUAGAAUUUAAACCGUAACAGAAUCCCACAUCGCUUGUGUAAGAAGAGGAAGCUGAGUUUAUAUAGUGAUGGAGUGACGAAGGUGAUUGUCCCUUCGGGGACAUCCGAUAAAAUUGGAACGAUACAGAGAAGAUUAGCAUGGCCCCUGCGCAAGGAUGACACGCACAAAUCGAGAAAUGGUCUAAAUUUUUUUUUGUUUUUUUUUUCCCAAUUCGAUUCCGACGAAAAACCCUAGAAUUCCAGCUGAAUCAUCGUCAAAUUGGAUUUGUUCCCAUCUCUGGUUUGGUGACUUUGGUCAAUUGCAUAGAAAAUUUCAUGCGUUUAUGUGUACAAAAAGAUUAAGAAUCUGAAUCUGGCUUGGUGUUGAAGAGACAAAUUCAAUUCAAUUCCUUUCUGAAUCAGUAUAUCAUUCUUGGUGAUGGAUUUAGGAAAUGAGAUUAAUGUGGCCUUUUGUUGUUAGAUAUGGCUUUAUUUUGCUAUGUUUCACCAUAUUUUGAAUCAGUAUAUACAUUGAAUUCAAUUCAAUUCGAUUCCUUUCUGAAUCAGUAUAACUAGUUCUGUCAACUCUUGUCUUCAUUUGUACAAAAGAUUAAUGUGGCCUUUUGUUGUUAGAGAUGGAUUUAUUUUGCUAUGUUUCACUAUAUUUUGCUACUUAAUUUCUCCAUGAGAUCUUUAUGUUUUAUGGCAUUUUGUAAUGGUGCAUCUAGUUACAUGUUCGGUGUUCCAACUUUUUAUGACGUUUACAGAUUUUCCUGAUAUUCAAAGUAUUUGAUGAAAAAACUCUUUUUAGUUUAUAAAGCCCAUAAGAAACAUUUUAGUCAUAUUUCUGACUUGCUUUUAAACAUUAACAAUAAUAUUUUUCUUACUUUUAAACAUUUUAACAAUAUAUAUUUUCGAUCUUGGAGUUUUAAUCGGAUCUGCCAGCAGACUGUGUGGGCUGUCUUUUGCUGUUCGGAUCUCUUUUAGUGGAUUCGAUAAUUGUUGGAGCAGCAAAAGUUAGCAGAAGAACAUAAAAGUGGCUAGAAACAAACAUAAAGCAGUUUUGUCAUUGUGAUGUUCUUUUGUUUUCUAGCUACCAACCUCGUGGUAGUGAUCGACACGUUCUACCAAUAUUUAAUGCAAACUGGAAAGAAAAGAACUGACGGAUGAUAUUUAUUUCCCUGGAGAAUGGAGACGACUCAGAGUCUCAGACGAAUGACGAAGUGCAAUUUUUUAAUUUUUAAUUAAAUUCCUUAAAACAUUCAAAAUCGAAUAAGGGAAAUUGCACCCACUAGCUGACUAGCAGAAACAAAAUUCAUUAA
This is an RNA transcript of Brassica napus (rape), 3993 nucleotides long. It is a transcript of the gene named putative hydrolase C777.06c, with no coding region annotated. NCBI's taxonomy places the organism in Eukaryota, Viridiplantae, Streptophyta, Magnoliopsida, Brassicales, Brassicaceae. The transcript is spliced from 4 exons. The record is from RefSeq and is a predicted model, not a curated record.